GCCAUGACGAGCAAAUCCAAAGCGAGGGAUGAGGACGCCAAACCGAAAAGAUUAGGAGCGAGGCGUGAGCAGCGUGGUGAGCAGGGGAGGCGAGGCUUGGCAAGAAGGAGGAGAGCAUAUCACAAAAGCGGGGGGGCUGGUUUUGGCAGAAGAAGAAAGGAGCGCUUGCGGGUUUUCUGGGUUUUGAAGGGUGAGGAGAGAACGCUCGAGGUUCGUUCAGAGAGAGAGGUGAGAGACGGCGAACAGAGAGUGAGAAGUGAGAGGUCCGAGCGACUGAGAAGAGCAAGAGACGGCAUCGCAGCCGCGGGCAGGCCCGUCCGACGACCUUUCCGGCGACGUCCUCAAGCCGAAUAGCGUGCAGCCACACUCAGAAAACAACCUGCUCUACAGCUCUUUCUUCUUCUUGAGAUGUCGAUAGUUCCUGAAGAAGAAAAGGAAUCCGUCUCCAUGAAGCAAGCCGAAGCCGAAGCAGAAGCCGAAGCCGAAGCAGAAGCCGAGCCCGAGUUCUCCUCCGAGAUGAGGAGGAUGAUAGAGGAAGUCUGUUCGGAUGUCUCUAAAUCGAUUGAUUCACCGGGUUUCUUGCUCAAAUUGAAGCAAAUCUCAGAUGAAUACGUGAGGGCCAUCACGGAGAACAACGGGACUAUAUCGAGGUGUUCAUACUAGCUCUUUCACACCAUCACGUGGGGUAUGAGCUUGGGAGAGCUCGUGAUCUCAUGGAAGGAACUCAUGAGAGGCUUGAUCCAAAAGGCGAGGUGAUGACGUUUUUUGGAACGCAAGCCGUGAGGGAACUCUCGUGAUCAGGUACCCCUAAACCUGACAUUUCCCCAUUUUCUCUCCUCAUGAUGAUGAGGGAUCAAGGGUGGUGAGAUCAGGUCGUGGCAUCCAUAUUUAUAAGAAAAUGUUUAUGAAAUAUGUUAUAACAAGUUCAUAAUCACAAUUAGUUGCUCCACGAGUUAACAUUAGAUGCAAAACAUGAGUUCCUGUUUUCCUAUGUAUUUAAACUCGCAGGCAUUUAGCUAGUUAGAAAAGUAAACAAGGUGCAGUAGGCAGAUGCAUUUCAUUGAAGAAGUGCGGGAGUUCGAGUCGAGUCAAGUCAAGUCAAUGAUCCCACUUCCUUUCGCAAUGGCAUAAGUGAGAUAGCUCGCAUGGGAGAAGUCAUAGGAAAAUCCUUCCAUUUCAUCUAUCCAACCUUUCGUUUGCUCUUAUAUCCUGAUAUCAAAUAAUUAAAAAAAAAAAUCAAUUAUAGAGAGUGAUAAUAUCGAAUUUAGCUAAUUAUUGGACCCACACCACAAUGUCCUUAUGUGAUCUAAUGUAUUACAUGCCUUGUCCGACGGGUCAAGGUAAUCCUUUGAUAAUGAGAUGUGUCAAGCGUCCUUGACGGGCCGUUCCUUGACAAAACCUCCACCUUGCAUAAAUACAAUGGAGUGAGCAAUGGUUUGUCCGCUACUCAAAAUUCAAGUGCUCGAUCUAAUGAACAUCCGUCAAAUGGGUGGAUUGGGUCAUGUCGAAAAUGUCCGACUCAAUUUGACUAAUUUUUAUUAAAUGCAAACCCGGAUGAUUGAGACGAGAUUCGGCAUUUUUGAACCACGAAACACUCGGUUUCCAUUUCAGUUGUAGGUGUAACCAACCUGCUAGGAAUGGGACGUGUCAUAACAAUUUGGCCUUAUAAUUGAGACCGCUGUGAUUGAUUGACUUAAAAGUGAGAUGUUCCAAUUGAUGAGUGCAAUUACUAUAUGCAUCUAUUAUAUGAAUUGUACUGACGUGCAUGAAGGUGCUGAGGCGAGGUGAGUCUUUUGUGAUAUGUGUAUAGGCUGCCUCUAGGCAUACUUCCUUCCUAAUUGGAGUUUAGGGCGUGAACUCGCUGAGACAUUGUCUCACCCCAUCGUGGGUUUCAAUCUUUUAAGGUCCUUAGAUGGAGGCAAGACUGGUUCGUUUUGGAUAGUUGCGGGGGUAUACCAAGCAUAGUAUCGACUAUCCUAUCCCCGGGAGUCCUUGGCUCCAUGAGCUCAUCAUGACCACUAAAUUGGUCAAUGAGGGCCUACCACAGUUGGUACCUCAUCAAUUCAAGAUGUGGUUUCGUCAUGGGCCUAAUGGGGUGCGGGAAUGUCCCCUUCAAGGUUUCGACAUACCCACCGUUGAGGGCGAGGGGGUAGCUGACCCACUUGACGGUGUUGUGAUAGAUCCAAAUCCCAAGUAGAUAAGGUUCGAGAUAAGGUUAGCUCGGUAGUCUCUUUUGUUUAUAGACUCUUGUGUAUAAACCUGGUGUAUUUAUAAAAGUGUGUUUG
Molecule: long non-coding RNA, 2285 nt
Organism: Eucalyptus grandis
Lineage: Eukaryota; Viridiplantae; Streptophyta; Magnoliopsida; Myrtales; Myrtaceae
Exons: 4
Source: RefSeq, a predicted model, not a curated record